AGCUUGCUACCUGACCUAGCGGCGGACGGGUGAGUAAUGCUUAGGAAUCUGCCUAUUAGUGGGGGACAACAUUCCGAAAGGAAUGCUAAUACCGCAUACGCCCUACGGGGGAAAGCAGGGGAUCUUCGGACCUUGCGCUAAUAGAUAAGCCUAAGUCAGAUUAGCUAGUUGGUGGGGUAAAGGCCUACCAAGGCGACGAUCUGUAGCGGGUCUGAGAGGAUGAUCCGCCACACUGGGACUGAGACACGGCCCAGACUCCUACGGGAGGCAGCAGUGGGGAAUAUUGGACAAUGGGCGAAAGCCUGAUCCAGCCAUGCCGCGUGUGUGAAGAAGGCCUUUUGGUUGUAAAGCACUUUAAGCGAGGAGGAGGCUCUCUUGGUUAAUACCCAAGAUGAGUGGACGUUACUCGCAGAAUAAGCACCGGCUAACUCUGUGCCAGCAGCCGCGGUAAUACAGAGGGUGCGAGCGUUAAUCGGAUUUACUGGGCGUAAAGCGUGCGUAGGCGGCUUUUUAAGUCGGAUGUGAAAUCCCCGAGCUUAACUUGGGAAUUGCAUUCGAUACUGGGAAGCUAGAGUAUGGGAGAGGAUGGUAGAAUUCCAGGUGUAGCGGUGAAAUGCGUAGAGAUCUGGAGGAAUACCGAUGGCGAAGGCAGCCAUCUGGCCUAAUACUGACGCUGAGGUACGAAAGCAUGGGGAGCAAACAGGAUUAGAUACCCUGGUAGUCCAUGCCGUAAACGAUGUCUACUAGCCGUUGGGGCCUUUGAGGCUUUAGUGGCGCAGCUAACGCGAUAAGUAGACCGCCUGGGGAGUACGGUCGCAAGACUAAAACUCAAAUGAAUUGACGGGGGCCCGCACAAGCGGUGGAGCAUGUGGUUUAAUUCGAUGCAACGCGAAGAACCUUACCUGGUCUUGACAUAGUAAGAACUUUCCAGAGAUGGAUUGGUGCCUUCGGGAACUUACAUACAGGUGCUGCAUGGCUGUCGUCAGCUCGUGUCGUGAGAUGUUGGGUUAAGUCCCGCAACGAGCGCAACCCUUUUCCUUAUUUGCCAGCGAGUAAUGUCGGGAACUUUAAGGAUACUGCCAGUGACAAACUGGAGGAAGGCGGGGACGACGUCAAGUCAUCAUGGCCCUUACGACCAGGGCUACACACGUGCUACAAUGGUCGGUACAAAGGGUUGCUACCUAGCGAUAGGAUGCUAAUCUCAAAAAGCCGAUCGUAGUCCGGAUUGGAGUCUGCAACUCGACUCCAUGAAGUCG
RNAcentral lists this ribosomal RNA (1256 nucleotides) under uncultured Acinetobacter sp. Its description in RNAcentral is "bacterial SSU rRNA". It matches the Rfam family "Bacterial small subunit ribosomal RNA", at positions 77 to 1328 of the family's 1533-position model. The record is from RNAcentral. Lineage: Bacteria; Pseudomonadati; Pseudomonadota; Gammaproteobacteria; Moraxellales; Moraxellaceae.